This 253-nucleotide ribosomal RNA is filed under the name uncultured bacterium. RNAcentral's name for it is "partial 16S ribosomal RNA". It matches the Rfam family "Bacterial small subunit ribosomal RNA", at positions 524 to 776 of the family's 1533-position model. The record is from RNAcentral.
UACGUAGGGGGCAAGCGUUGUCCGGAAUUAUUGGGCGUAAAGAGCUCGUAGGCGGUCUGUCGCGUCGGCUGUGAAAACCCGAGGCUCAACCUCGGGCCUGCAGUCGAUACGGGCAAACUAGAGUACUGCAGGGGAGACUGGAAUUCCUGGUGUAGCGGUGAAAUGCGCAGAUAUCGGGAGGAACACCGGUGGCGAAGGCGGGUCUCUGGGCAGUAACUGACGCUGAGGAGCGAAAGCGUGGGGAGCGAACAGG